RNAcentral lists this transfer RNA (74 nucleotides) under Saprospiraceae bacterium. RNAcentral describes it as "tRNA-Met". It matches the Rfam family "tRNA". Rfam says of the family: Transfer RNA (tRNA) molecules are approximately 80 nucleotides in length. Their secondary structure includes four short double-helical elements and three loops (D, anti-codon, and T loops). The record is from RNAcentral. Lineage: Bacteria; Pseudomonadati; Bacteroidota; Saprospiria; Saprospirales; Saprospiraceae. RNAcentral also lists the same sequence under 2 other names.
GGCGUGGUAGCUCAGCCGGUUAGAGCGCAGGAUUCAUAAUCCUGAGGUCGGGAGUUCAAGUCUCCCCCACGCUA